AAGUUACUGCUUGGAAGAAAGAGCUAUCAAAGACUAAGAAGGCAUUCAACGAGGCUUCAGCGAAAGUCAAUCGAUUGAAGAGGACCAUUCAUCAAAAUGUUGUGGCAUACUCCACAGAGAAAGCUCAGUUGGCUGAGGAGUCCGCAAAGCUAUCGAAAUUCGUCGAGGAUUCCACUUGGAGUGUCACUACCAAACAGCAUCACCUUCGCAGCC
Molecule: long non-coding RNA, 213 nt
Filed under: Elaeis guineensis (African oil palm)
Lineage: Eukaryota; Viridiplantae; Streptophyta; Magnoliopsida; Arecales; Arecaceae
Description: long non-coding RNA (EGUI_LNC006913)
Source: RNAcentral